AUGAGACAGAUGGGUGGAUGGCAAGUGGGCCAAGAUCUACAUGCAACCGGACAAAGGGGGGCGAAGAGGGCACAAAGAACGUCCGCUUUGUGUCCGCUUUUGACCCAAUUUUUUCACAGAUUUGAGCCCAAAAUGGGUCCGAACGGACACCAAACGAACAGCAGGCGGACGCUAUGUCCGUUUGGGUCGCCCUGUUGGGAUGAGUUUUGUGUCCGAAUGACCCAAAUGGACAAAAUGGAUCGUCCCAUUGAAAUUGCUCUAACAUAUGAAACAAUAGUGAGAGCAAAUUAUUCCCUGGAAAAAAUUAAUCAGAAGACUUAA
RNAcentral lists this ribosomal RNA (321 nucleotides) under Triticum aestivum (bread wheat). RNAcentral's name for it is "partial small subunit ribosomal RNA". The record is from RNAcentral. Lineage: Eukaryota; Viridiplantae; Streptophyta; Magnoliopsida; Poales; Poaceae.